Non-coding RNA from Agrilus planipennis (emerald ash borer), 73 nucleotides. Lineage: Eukaryota; Metazoa; Arthropoda; Insecta; Coleoptera; Buprestidae. The record is from Rfam.
UCUCUCGUAGCUUAGUGGUUAGAGCAUUUGUGCGUAAUGUCGAAUGUCCCGGGUUCGAUUCCUGGCGAGGAAG